AUCCCUGUAGCGCAAUGGAUAGCACAUUGGAGCUCUAAUCCAAAGAUAGUGGGUUCGAAUCCUACCUGGGAUG
Non-coding RNA from Trichonephila inaurata madagascariensis, 73 nucleotides. The record is from the annotation of a GenBank genome assembly. Lineage: Eukaryota; Metazoa; Arthropoda; Arachnida; Araneae; Nephilidae.